CAGUCGCCACGGUAAUACGUAGGUGGCAAGCGUUAUCCGGAAUUAUUGGGCGUAAAGCGCGCGUAGGCGGUUUUUUAAGUCUGAUGUGAAAGCCCACGGCUCAACCGUGGAGGGUCAUUGGAAACUGGAAAACUUGAGUGCAGAAGAGGAAAGUGGAAUUCCAUGUGUAGCGGUGAAAUGCGCAGAGAUAUGGAGGAACACCAGUGGCGAAGGCGACUUUCUGGUCUGUAACUGACGCUGAUGUGCGAAAGCGUGGGGAUCAAACAGGAUUAGAUACCCCCGUAGUCCCUGUCUCUUAUAC
This 301-nucleotide ribosomal RNA is filed under the name uncultured bacterium. RNAcentral describes it as "partial 16S ribosomal RNA". It matches the Rfam family "Bacterial small subunit ribosomal RNA", at positions 509 to 807 of the family's 1533-position model. The record is from RNAcentral.